GACGUACUCCCUUUGUUCCAAAUUACUUGACUUCCAUUUGUCUAAACACGGAUGUAUCUAGACAUUCGUGUCUAGACAAAUGGAGGUCAAGUAAUUUGGAACGGAGGGAGUACAUA
Non-coding RNA from Triticum aestivum (bread wheat), 116 nucleotides. The record is from Rfam. NCBI's taxonomy places the organism in Eukaryota, Viridiplantae, Streptophyta, Magnoliopsida, Poales, Poaceae.